UACGAAGGGGGCUAGCGUUGUUCGGAAUUACUGGGCGUAAAGGGCGCGUAGGCGGUGCGUCAAGUCAGGCGUGAAAGCCCCGGGCUCAACCUGGGAACCGCGCUUGAGACUGGCACGCUAGAGUUCGGGAGAGGAUGGUGGAAUUCCCAGUGUAGAGGUGAAAUUCGUAGAUAUUGGGAAGAACACCGAUGGCGAAGGCAGCCAUCUGGACCGACACUGACGCUGAGGCGCGAAAGCGUGGGGAGCAAACAGG
This 253-nucleotide ribosomal RNA is filed under the name uncultured bacterium. Its description in RNAcentral is "partial 16S ribosomal RNA". It matches the Rfam family "Bacterial small subunit ribosomal RNA", at positions 524 to 776 of the family's 1533-position model. The record is from RNAcentral.